CCUACGGGAGGCAGCAGUGGGGAAUAUUGGGCAAUGGGCGCAAGCCUGACGCAGCAACGCCGCGUGAAGGAAGAAGGCUCUCGGGUUGUAAACUUCUUUUCUCAGGGACGAAGCAAGUGACGGUACUUGAGGAAUAAGCCACGGCUAACUACGUGCCAGCAGCCGCGGUAAUACGUAGGUGGCAAGCGUUAUCCGGAUUUACUGGGUGUAAAGGGCGUGUAGGCGGGAAAGCAAGUCAGAUGUGAAAACCAUGGGCUCAACCUGUGGCCUACAUUUGAAACUGUUUUUCUUGAGUAUUGGAGAGGCAGACGGAAUUCCUGGUGUAGCGGUGAAAUGCGUAGAUAUUAGGAGGAACACCAGUGGCGAAGGCGGUCUGCUGGACAGCAACUGACGCUGAGGCGCGAAAGCGUGGGGAGCAAACAGGAUUAGAUACCCGGGUAGUC
Molecule: ribosomal RNA, 443 nt
Filed under: uncultured bacterium
Lineage: Bacteria
Description: partial 16S ribosomal RNA
Rfam family: Bacterial small subunit ribosomal RNA
Source: RNAcentral